Prosopis cineraria is the source of this 121-nucleotide ribosomal RNA. The record is from RefSeq and is a predicted model, not a curated record. NCBI's taxonomy places the organism in Eukaryota, Viridiplantae, Streptophyta, Magnoliopsida, Fabales, Fabaceae.
GGGUGCGAUCAUACCAGCACUAAUGCACCGGAUCCCAUCAGAACUCCGCAGUUAAGCGUGCUUGGGCGAGAGGGUAGUACUAGGAUGGGUGCCCUCCUGGGAAGUCGUCGAGUUGCACCCC